CCCUGGCUCAGGACGAACGCGGGCGGCGUGCCUAAUACAUGCAAGUCGAGCGGAAUGAUGAAGAAGCUUGCUUCUUCUGAUUUUAGCGGCGGACGGGUGAGUAACACGUGGGCAACCUACCUUGUAGAUUGGGAUAACUCCGGGAAACCGGGGCUAAUACCGAAUAAUCCAUUUUGCUUCAUGGCAAGAUGUUGAAAGGCGGCUUCGGCUGUCACUACGAGAUGGGCCCGCGGCGUAUUAGCUAGUUGGUAGGGUAAUGGCCUACCAAGGCGACGAUACGUAGCCGACCUGAGAGGGUGAUCGGCCACACUGGGACUGAGACACGGCCCAGACUCCUACGGGAGGCAGCAGUAGGGAAUCUUCCACAAUGGACGAAAGUCUGAUGGAGCAACGCCGCGUGAGUGAAGAAGGUUUUCGGAUCGUAAAACUCUGUUGUAAGGGAAGAACACGUACGAGAGUAACUGCUUCGUACCUUGACGGUACCUUAUUAGAAAGCCACGGCUAACUA
RNAcentral lists this ribosomal RNA (508 nucleotides) under Sporosarcina sp. CL5.133. RNAcentral describes it as "bacterial SSU rRNA". It matches the Rfam family "Bacterial small subunit ribosomal RNA", at positions 17 to 503 of the family's 1533-position model. Lineage: Bacteria; Bacillati; Bacillota; Bacilli; Caryophanales; Caryophanaceae. The record is from RNAcentral.